AGCGAACGUUGGCGAUGCGUCUUAAGCAUGCAAGUCGAGCGGGCUUAUUCGGGCAACUGGAUAAGUUAGCGGCGAACUGGUGAGUAACACGUAGGUAAUCUGCCGUGAAGUGGGGGAUAACCCAUGGAAACAUGGACUAAUACCGUAUAUACUCUUGCUACAUAAGUAGAGUAGAGGAAAGUUUUUUCGCUUCACGAUGAGCCUGCGGCCUAUUAGCCUGUUGGUAGGGUAAUGGCCUACCAAAGCUACGAUAGGUAGCCGACCUGAGAGGGUGACCGGCCACAUUGGGACUGAGAUACGGCCCAGACUCCUACGGGAGGCAGCAGCUGAGAAUCUUCCACAAUGGACGAAAGUCUGAUGGAGCGACAUCGCGUGAGGGAUGAAGGCCUUCGGGUUGUAAACCUCGGAAAUUAUCGAAGAAUGAGUGACAGUAGAUAAUGUAAGCCUCGGCUAACUACGUGCCAGCAGCCGCGGUAAUACGUAGGAGGCAAACGUUGCUCGGAUUUACUGGGCGUAAAGGGUGAGUAGGCGGAUUUAUAAGUCUAAGGUGAAAGACCGAAGCUCAACUUCGGGAACGCCUCGGAUACUGUAGAUCUUGGAUAUUGCAGGGGAUGAUGGAAUUCUCGGUGUAGCGGUGGAAUGCGCAGAUAUCGAGAGGAACACCUAUAGCGAAGGCAGUCAUCUGGGCAUUUAUCGACGCUGAAUCACGAAAGCUAGGGGAGCAAACAGGCUUAGAUACCCUGGUAGUCCUAGCCGUAAACGUUGUACACUAGGUGCUUCUAUUUAAAUAGGAGUGCCGUAGCUAACGUCUUAAGUGUACCGCCUGAGGAGUAUGCCCGCAAGGGUGAAACUCAAAGAAAUUGACGGGUCCCCGCACAAGUGGUGGAGCAUGUGGUUUAAUUCGAUGAUACGCGAAAAACCUUACCUGGGUUUGAAUUGUUAGAUGAAUGAUUUAGAGAUAAGUCAGACCGCAAGGACGUUUAACAUAGGUGCUGCAUGCCUGUCGUCAGCUCGUGUCGUGAGAUGUUGGGUUAAGUCCCGCAACGAGCGCAACCCUCACCCUCUGUUGCUACCGAGUAAUGUCGAGUACUCUUAGGGGACUGCCUACGUUCAAGUAGGAGGAAGGUGGGGAUGAUGUCAAGUCCUCAUGGCCCUUAUGUCCAGGGCUACACACGUGCUACAAUGGCAAGUACAAAGAGAAGCAAGACCGCGAGGUGGAGCAAAACUCAAAAAAGUUGCCUCAGUUCGGAUUGGAGUCUGAAACUCGACUCCAUGAAGUUGGAAUCACUAGUAAUCGUAGAUCAGAACGCUACGGUGAAUACGUUCCCGGGGAUUGUACACACCGCCCGUCACGCCAUCGGAGUUGGUUUUACCUGAAGCCGUUAGCCUAACCGUAAGGAGGGCGGCGUCGAAGGUGGGACUGAUGAUGAGGGUGAAGUCGUAACAAGGCAGCCGUACCGGAAGG
Molecule: ribosomal RNA, 1465 nt
Filed under: Brachyspira sp. HIS4
Lineage: Bacteria; Pseudomonadati; Spirochaetota; Spirochaetia; Brachyspirales; Brachyspiraceae
Description: bacterial SSU rRNA
Rfam family: Bacterial small subunit ribosomal RNA
Source: RNAcentral